This 435-nucleotide long non-coding RNA is filed under the name Anas platyrhynchos platyrhynchos (common mallard). RNAcentral describes it as "lncRNA (ENSAPLG00000026277.1)". The record is from RNAcentral. Lineage: Eukaryota; Metazoa; Chordata; Aves; Anseriformes; Anatidae.
CCUGGUUACAGCCAGUGGAAGCCCAGGAGGCUGAUUCAACAAAUAUAUUGUCUCCUGGAAACUUCAAAGUUUGGAGAGAAAUUAAACCCCUGUCAGCUAGGAGAUAGUGUCUGUAAGGAACUGCAAGGGAAGAGGAGGCAAACAAAGUGCUUGACAGCAGAGCGAAGGAAAAAAGUGGUAAGUUCAUAUGGGCAAAAAUUAACAGUAUGAGGGGCCAGUUUGUUUUCAAAGAGGAGAGAGUCUAUACUUACUUUUAGUUUGUCAUUAUAUCUAUUUUACGUGAAAUCUGGAUAAACUUUAAAAAUAGAUGAGAAAGUGACCAAAACAAGAGAUAAGCAUGCAUCUCCUUGGUACUGUGAGGCUUAUCCCAACUGACAGAAGUCAUCUUUCUAAUUGCAGAGACCAUUAUUAGAUGUAAAAUGACUUCAACCUGAU